CUUCUAGAUCUGCAGAGGACUUGCCUUUUUCCUCUGGCGUCUUCUUACCGCCCCCACCUCUCCCCGUCCCUACCUUCCCCUUUCUGAAUGGCACCAUGUACCAUCCUUGGGAGAAUUGAAAAGAUAGUCAAGCAAGUCACUUCGUGUCUUUGGGGCUCAGAUUGGAAACCUUGAUUGCAAAAGGGAAUGCAUGGGCCUCCUGCACCAUCUGAAGGACAGAAAACCCCCUCAGCUUUGCCAGAUGUGGCUCCUUCUUGAUGGUUCCUUGGGGAGCCUUCCUGACUACUUUACGACUUGAGGAAAUCUACUGGCAGCUGCCUUCUUUCACCAUUUAUUCCAGAUAAAGACAUUGCUAUUCAGUACAAUUGGUCAAAGUGUGUUUACAUUAUAAGGAGUUUGCAAAGGAAUUAGGAAAAUGGACAUCUGUGAUUGGUUUUGGAUGGUUGAGGGGAGAAGUGAAAAUGUGAUUAAUAUUUUGAAAAUAAAUUUACAUUUUGCUUCAUUAAAUGCUCUAUUUGCUACUAGGCGGCAGAAAAAAUAAUAUUGUGUAAAUGUGGUCUAGAUUCCCUUCCCAUUGCAUUUCCAUCUCAUGCAGCAUACCUUAUCCUGAUCUAAAUAGGUAUCCUUAGGAAUUCUCUAACAGAACCCUAUUACUCCCACAAAGAUGGUUUUUUGAAUGUGAGACUCACACCCUUGGAAAUAACUCUUUACCCUGGGGUCAAGAACUUGAUUUUUAUUUUCUGAAUCUAAAUAAAAAACAGCCACUUAUUGGACUCAUUCUUACUUAGACCUCUGCCUCUGUUAUGGGAAACAAACUAUACAUGUCCUUGUACAUCGACUAAGGUGUCUGUGACCACAUAUGAAAUCUUGACAUUCUUCUUCCAGGCUCUAUAUUUACAAGCUUUUCAAAAUUUCUUCUGAAAUAAGUAAGAGUCAUCAUAUUUUUAAUAUUUUCUAGGGAAUAAAAAACUCCUGCAGCAUUUUUUGAUAUCUAAAUCCAACUGUUUAUGAGUAUUUCCUGGUAAGGAAUUACCUCCUUAAAGAUAAAGCUAUAAUGGUCAUUU
Cervus elaphus (red deer) is the source of this 1064-nucleotide long non-coding RNA. RefSeq lists it as uncharacterized. The transcript has 3 exons. NCBI's taxonomy places the organism in Eukaryota, Metazoa, Chordata, Mammalia, Artiodactyla, Cervidae. The record is from RefSeq and is a predicted model, not a curated record.